UUUUCUGCCACCGAAUACAUUAGCAUGGGAUAAUGGAAUAGGACCCUGUCCUCCUAUUUUCAGUUGGUUUUGGCASCGCGAGGACUAGGGUAAUGAUUAAUAGGGAUAGUUGGGGGCAUUAAUAUUUAAUUGUCWGAGGUGAAAUUCUUGGAUUUAUGAAAGAUUAACUUCUGCGAAAGCAUCUGCCAAGGAUGUUUUCAUUAAUCAAGAACGAAAGUUAGGGGAUCGAASACGAUCARAUACCGUCSUASUCUUAACCAUAAACGAUGCCGACCAGCGAUUAGGARACGUUGAAUACAAAACACCACCMUCGGCGCGGUCGUCCCUGGCUCGUCGKCUCACGACGGCSGGCGGGGGCGGYUUARCCCRAUGGCACCGGUGAAUGACUCCCCUAG
RNAcentral lists this ribosomal RNA (395 nucleotides) under Acanthamoeba genotype T4. RNAcentral describes it as "partial 18S ribosomal RNA". It matches the Rfam family "Eukaryotic small subunit ribosomal RNA", at positions 796 to 1094 of the family's 1831-position model. The record is from RNAcentral. Lineage: Eukaryota; Discosea; Longamoebia; Acanthamoebidae.